GUCUGACGGAGCACGCCGCGUGAGUGAUGAAGGUUUUCGGAUCGUAAAGCUCUGUUGUUAGGGAAGAACAAGUGCAAGAGUAACUGCUUGCACCUUGACGGUACCUAACCAGAAAGCCACGGCUAACUACGUGCCAGCAGCCGCGGUAAUACGUAGGUGGCAAGCGUUGUCCGGAAUUAUUGGGCGUAAAGGGCUCGCAGGCGGUUUCUUAAGUCUGAUGUGAAAGCCCCCGGCUCAACCGGGGAGGGUCAUUGGAAACUGGGAAACUUGAGUGCAGAAGAGGAGAGUGGAAUUCCACGUGUAGCGGUGAAAUGCGUAGAGAUGUGGAGGAACACCAGUGGCGAAGGCGACUCUCUGGUCUGUAACUGACGCUGAGGAGCGAAAGCGUGGGGAGCGAACAGGAUUAGAUACCCUGGUAGUCCACGCCGUAAACGAUGAGUGCUAAGUGUUAGGGGGUUUCCGCCCCUUAGUGCUGCAGCUAACGCAUUAAGCACUCCGCCUGGGGAGUACGGUCGCAAGACUGAAACUCAAAGGAAUUGACGGGGGCCCGCACAAGCGGUGGAGCAUGUGGUUUAAUUCGAAGCAACGCGAAGAACCUUACCAGGUCUUGACAUCCUCUGACAACCCUAGAGAUAGGGCUUUCCCUUCNGGG
RNAcentral lists this ribosomal RNA (652 nucleotides) under Bacillus sp. NJSZ2. RNAcentral describes it as "bacterial SSU rRNA". It matches the Rfam family "Bacterial small subunit ribosomal RNA", at positions 381 to 1025 of the family's 1533-position model. Lineage: Bacteria; Bacillati; Bacillota; Bacilli; Caryophanales; Bacillaceae. The record is from RNAcentral.